Molecule: long non-coding RNA, 1698 nt
Organism: Carya illinoinensis
Lineage: Eukaryota; Viridiplantae; Streptophyta; Magnoliopsida; Fagales; Juglandaceae
Exons: 2
Source: RefSeq, a predicted model, not a curated record
AAAUAUUUUAAAAAAUAUGCUAGCGGUGAAACUUUAGAAACAAAAGUCAUGCUACAUCAAUCCAAAGAUGUCACUGAUAAGGCUAAAUGAUCUUUUUAUUUUUUUUAUAAAUUUUUUUUUCAUAUAGUUUUUUAUAUUAUAAAAUGCAACAAUGUCGUUUCUCUUCCCUCGAAGAUAGAAGGGAUUUCAUCAUAAUUUUGCCCAUUUCAUCCCAUAUCCACGAAGUCUUAUCUUCGAUUUUUCUAUUUUCUCUAUCUUCUACAUCGCACGAAGCCUCAUCGUCUUUUCCACGAAGUCACCGCCUUAUGAAGUCAUAGCCCGUCGCAGCCUACUCUUCAUCUUCUCCACUGUGGGCCUUUGUGGUCUCCACCAAUCCAUGAAGGCCCACGAACCUACCAACACCAACACCCAUAGUCACUAUCUUCAUCUUCUCUUCGUCUUUUUCACGAAGCCAUAUAGCCACAGCCCCUUCGUCUUCUUCACAAACUCAUUGAAUGGCUAUCUUCAUCUUCUCCAUGAAGUCCCUUUUUUCCUCUUCUCCACUCGGAUCUGAAAUCCACGAACCCGGAUCUGAAAUCUCUUUCCCACAAAGCCCCAUAAGAUUUUGAAACCAUACUUGCUGAAAAAUGGGGAAAAAGUGAUUUUUCUUCUCAUUUCAUGAUACUUUUCAACCAUGAAGAUUGCUUCCAUUCUAAUUACUUCGUGCUCUAAAGAGCACUAGAAGAUCUAUCAAGAGUGGUUCAAUUAUAUUGAUUUAGGUACAUUCACUCCUAUUUAAAUUUGGUUUUUCUCACCAAAUUUGAUCUCCAUUCCUCUUUUGGUUGAAAUAAUAUUGAAUAUUGUUUCAUUAAAAAUCAAUUCCCCCUUUUUUGUUUUUAAGAUUUUGAAUUAUAGGCUUAUUGCAUUUUGUGUAUGUUCAAACUAUGUGUUUUGUUUAGAUGGAAAUCGCCGUAUAACAGGGAAUGAUGCUACUAAGUUUUUCUCUAUGUCCAAUUUGUCCAGGCAAGAUCUCAAGUAGGUUUAAUUUCAUUAUUUUUUGUUCAUUUUCUUGACAAUAUUUGUGAAUCAUUCAUUGCUUCAGCUUAAUUGAUGAAUUGGAAAAUUGAUUUUGCUAAUAUUUUCACAAUUUUUUAAAUGAUUAUCAUAUAUAUGUUAGACGAAUAGCUUUAUAAACGAUAGUUGUGGUUAGUGCUGUUAUGGAGGGUUUGGAUGCACUAAUAGUGGUAACUAUGCUAUUUUUAUUUUUAUUAAUUCUUUGUUCCAUUAAUUUCCUUCAAGGAACUCUUACCUUUUCAUGUCAUCCACUCAGAAGGAGAAGCGAAACGAAAAGACAAGUGAACUUGAUGCAAAUGCUCAUUCAAUGACAAACCUGUAAAUGAAGCUACUACUGGUCCAAUUGGGAAAGAACUUUUUGAAAAAAGAGCAGGAGGACCUUCAUGUUGAUCUAGAAGAUAUUCCGAAGAAAGUUUGUGAAAGCUUGUGAUCGCAGAACUUGUAUAAAUACACGGUAUUUUAAGUUACUAUGUGGUAGCAUGGUAAUUCUAUUUAUAAAUGUCUUGAAGGUUGAAGGGCUUUUAACCGGUUUGUAAAACAGUUUGUAUUGUACUUCGUAUAGAUGAUGCAUGUUACCUACUAGUUUGUAAAAAAGUUUGAUUAGAACACUAGAAAUCUUGACUGCCAGUAUUCAAAGUUACGGUU